Molecule: ribosomal RNA, 270 nt
Filed under: uncultured archaeon
Lineage: Archaea
Description: partial 16S ribosomal RNA
Rfam family: Archaeal small subunit ribosomal RNA
Source: RNAcentral
CAGCACCUCAAGUGGUCAGGAUGAUGAUUGGGCCUAAAGCAUCCGUAGCCGGCGCUGUAAGUUUUCGGUUAAAUCUGGACGCUCAACGUACAGGCUGCCGGGAAUACUGCAGCGCUAGGGAGUGGGAGAGGUAGACGGUACUCGGUAGGAAGGGGUAAAAUCCUUUGAUCUAUUGAUGACCACCUGUGGCGAAGGCGGUCUACCAGAACACGUCCGACGGUGAGGGAUGAAAGCUGGGGGAGCAAACCGGAUUAGAUACCCGAGUAGUCC